UACACCAUGUCUUGAUAGAUAAUAAAAGCUCUAUCAAUGUAUUGUUUUAUGAUGCUUUUUUGAAGAUAGGGAUACCUACAAAUCGAUUGGGAAGAAUGGACUCCCCACUCAUCAGAUUUAUCAGAGACACCAUUCCUGUUGAAGGGGUCAUCACCUUGCCCUUAAAGGUUGGCCGAUCUCUUGCUCAGUCCACCAUGCA
This 199-nucleotide long non-coding RNA is filed under the name Elaeis guineensis (African oil palm). RNAcentral's name for it is "long non-coding RNA (EGUI_LNC032159)". The record is from RNAcentral. Lineage: Eukaryota; Viridiplantae; Streptophyta; Magnoliopsida; Arecales; Arecaceae.